GGCAAGCGUUGUCCGGAAUUAUUGGGCGUAAAGCGCGCGCAGGCGGUUCCUUAAGUCUGAUGUGAAAGCCCACGGCUCAACCGUGGAGGGUCAUUGGAAACUGGGGGACUUGAGUGCAGGAGAGGGGAGCGGAAUUCCAUGUGUAGCGGUGAAAUGCGUAGAGAUAUGGAGGAACACCAGUGGCGAAGGCGGCUCUCUGGCCUGUAACUGACGCUGAGGCGCGAAAGCGUGGGGAGCGAACAGGAUUAGAUACCCUGGUAGUCCACGCCGUAAACGAUGAGUGCUAAGUGUUAGAGGGUUUCCACCCUUUAGUGCUGCAGCUAACGCAUUAAGCACUCCGCCUGGGGAGUACGGUCGCAAGACUGAAACUCAAAGGAAUUGACGGGGGCCCGCACAAGCGGUGGAGCAUGUGGUUUAAUUCGAAGCAACGCGAAGAACCUUACCAGGUCUUGACAUCCUCUGACAACCCUAGAGAUAGGGCGUUCCCCUUCGGGGGACAGAGU
RNAcentral lists this ribosomal RNA (503 nucleotides) under uncultured Bacillota bacterium. RNAcentral describes it as "bacterial SSU rRNA". It matches the Rfam family "Bacterial small subunit ribosomal RNA", at positions 533 to 1032 of the family's 1533-position model. Lineage: Bacteria; Bacillati; Bacillota. The record is from RNAcentral.